This 73-nucleotide transfer RNA is filed under the name Propionibacteriaceae bacterium. RNAcentral describes it as "tRNA-Met". It matches the Rfam family "tRNA". From Rfam's summary of the family: Transfer RNA (tRNA) molecules are approximately 80 nucleotides in length. Their secondary structure includes four short double-helical elements and three loops (D, anti-codon, and T loops). Lineage: Bacteria; Bacillati; Actinomycetota; Actinomycetes; Propionibacteriales; Propionibacteriaceae. The record is from RNAcentral.
GGCGGGGUAGCUCAGGUGGUAGAGCAAGCGGCUCAUAAUCGCUGUGUCACGGGUUCGAGUCCCGUCCUCGCUA